Humulus lupulus (European hop) is the source of this 486-nucleotide long non-coding RNA. RefSeq lists it as uncharacterized. The transcript has 4 exons. NCBI's taxonomy places the organism in Eukaryota, Viridiplantae, Streptophyta, Magnoliopsida, Rosales, Cannabaceae. The record is from RefSeq and is a predicted model, not a curated record.
CACUUUGCACGACCAUUACUCUGAAAAACAGAGAGAAAAGAAAACCAAAAACCAUUUCUUGGCAGGUUUGAAGAAAUUCUAAGGAUAUCCAAGUGAAAUCAAAGCCAAAGAAGUGGAUUAAGCUUAGUUCUAGCCUUUUUAUGAUAUUUCUUAGUGGUUUCCAAGUGGUUUGAGGUUUAGAAAAGCUAGAAGAGAUUGCUUUCGCCGAAAAGUUGCUCGGAUAAGCACAUCAACACCUAAGACACCACUUGUUACACGGUGAAUUAUAUUUUGGACAGAAGGUAGAGAAAGAAAUGAGUGAAUGACAUAAGGAGAACUGAAGCAUGGUCCUGACCCUGAUUUGUACAUAUGAACACAUCGACCUUUUGUGGGUUAUUUCAGUUUACCAAUGUGAUAAUUGUAAUAAAGUGUGAAGUUAUGUUUUGAAAACAAUUUGGGUUAUUUAAUACUUAUGUAUAAUAUGUUUGAGACACACUUUAUGUUUAA